RNAcentral lists this small RNA (553 nucleotides) under Pan troglodytes (chimpanzee). RNAcentral describes it as "processed transcript". Lineage: Eukaryota; Metazoa; Chordata; Mammalia; Primates; Hominidae. The record is from RNAcentral.
GAUGCAUCACCCUAUACAGAUGAAACCUGCUGACAGUGAGAAGAACAAUGCAGUGGAAGACAGGAAGCUGUUUAUUGGUAUGAUUUCCAAGAAGUGCACUGAAAAUGACAUCCGAGUCAUGUUCUCUUCGUUUGGACAGAUUGAAGAAUGCCGGAUAUUGCGGGGACCUGAUGGCCUGAGCCGAGGGUUGCUCAUCACCCAUGGUGGUAAAAUUUGCUGAUACACAGAAGGACAAAGAACAGAAGAGAAUGGCCCAGCAGCUCCAGCAGCAGAUGCAGCAAAUCAGCGCAGCAUCUGUGUGGGGAAACCUUGCUGGUCUAAAUACUCUUGGACCCCAGUAUUUAGCACUUUAUUUGCAGCUCCUUCAGCAGACUGCCUCCUCUGGGAACCUCAACACCCUGAGCAGCCUCCACCCAAUGGGAGGGUUGAAUGCAAUGCAGUUACAGAAUUUGGCUGCACUAGCUGCUGCAGCUAGUGCAGCUCAGAACACACCAAGUGGUACCAAUGCUCUCACUACAUCCAGCAGUCCCCUCAGCGUGCUCACUAGUUCAGG